GUCCAGCUUUGAAGGUGGAGCUCUCGUUCCAUAGAGGAAUUUCAAUCCUGGCAUGUUCUGUUUCAUUUAAGACCUACACCCUGUUGCUUAUUAUUUCCUGAAAUCGGACAUACUGGUGACUGAGGAAUGAUGGUUGCAUCAGAUCAUCAGAUCCCUUUGAAAAGCACCUUUUUCAGCCCUCCCAGAGACAGAGAAACCAGAGUUCUUC
Molecule: long non-coding RNA, 208 nt
Filed under: Cyanistes caeruleus (blue tit)
Lineage: Eukaryota; Metazoa; Chordata; Aves; Passeriformes; Paridae
Description: lncRNA (ENSCCEG00000024490.1)
Source: RNAcentral